Molecule: ribosomal RNA, 787 nt
Filed under: uncultured Neocallimastigales
Lineage: Eukaryota; Fungi; Neocallimastigomycota; Neocallimastigomycetes; Neocallimastigales
Description: partial large subunit ribosomal RNA
Rfam family: Eukaryotic large subunit ribosomal RNA
Source: RNAcentral
UCAGACGAUGCGUCAUGCAUAUCAAUAAGCGGAGGAAAAGAAACUAACAAGGAUUCCCUUAGUAACGGCGAGUGAAGCGGGAAGAGCUCAAAUUUGAAAUCUUCAAGGUUUUACCUUGACGAAUUGUAGUUUAAAGAAGUGUUUUCUGUUGAAGUUUUGGUAAAAGUUCUUUGGAAUAGGACAUCAUAGAGGGUGAGAAUCCCGUCUUUGACUCGAUUAUUUUCAGCUGUUGAUGAUACACUUUUCCAAAGAGUCAGGAUUGUUUGGGAAUGCAGUCCUAAAUUGGGUGGUAAAUCUCAUCCUAAAGCUAAAUAUUGGCGAGAGACCGAUAGCGAACAAGUACCGUGAGGGAAAGAUGAAAAGAACUUUGAAAAGAGAGUUAAACAGUACGUGAAAUUGUCAAAAGGGAAGCGUUUGACACCAGUGUUGUUUUCUCGAAAAUCAAUUAAAAAUGGCUUCGAUUUUGUAUUGCUGUAUGACCUUAAAAGCUGCACUGUACAAUUUUCGUGUCUUUUUUAAUGCACUUUUCGUUUAACAAGUCAACAUCAGUUUCUUUUGUUGUAAAAAGGUCAUUGGAAGGUGGCUUUCUUUUCGGAGAAAGUGUUUAUAGCCUUUGACUCCUGCAAUCGGAGAGACUGAGGUCUGCAGCGUAGACUCUUCGGGGUUAGAUACAUUUGUGCUAAGUUAUAGCUUUUUAUAGACAACUUGUUGACUAUAAUUAGUCUUGUAGCUUACUCGCUUAUGCUAUUUUACCUACGCUUAGGAUGUUGAGUCGUAGAGCACGCAG